GACAGAGGGUGCAAACGUUGUUCGGAAUUACUGGGCGUAAAGCGCGUGUAGGCGGCUACGUAAGUCGGGCGUGAAAUCCCACGGCUCAACUGUGGAAGAGCACUCGAAACUGCGUGGCUAGAGUCCUGGAGAGGAAGGUGGAAUACUUGGUGUAGAGGUGAAAUUCGUAGAUAUCAAGUGGAACACCAGUGGCGAAGGCGGCCUUCUGGACAGUGACUGACGCUGAGACGCGAAAGCGUGGGGAGCAAACAGG
RNAcentral lists this ribosomal RNA (253 nucleotides) under uncultured bacterium. Its description in RNAcentral is "partial 16S ribosomal RNA". It matches the Rfam family "Bacterial small subunit ribosomal RNA", at positions 524 to 776 of the family's 1533-position model. The record is from RNAcentral.